Molecule: ribosomal RNA, 500 nt
Filed under: uncultured bacterium
Lineage: Bacteria
Description: partial 16S ribosomal RNA
Rfam family: Bacterial small subunit ribosomal RNA
Source: RNAcentral
AUUGAACGCUGGCGGAAUGCUUUACACAUGCAAGUCGAACGGCAGCACGGACUUCGGUCUGGUGGCGAGUGGCGAGCGGGUGAGUAAUAUAUCGGAACGUGCCCAGUCGUGGGGGAUAACAUAGUGAAAAUUACGCUAAUACCGCAUACGAUCUACGGAUGAAAGCGGGGGAUCGCAAGACCUCGCGCGAUUGGAGCGGCCGAUAUCAGAUUAGGUAGUUGGUGAGGUAAAGGCUCACCAAGCCGACGAUCUGUAGCUGGUCUGAGAGGACGACCAGCCACACUGGAACUGAGACACGGUCCAGACUCCUACGGGAGGCAGCAGUGGGGAAUUUUGGACAAUGGACGCAAGUCUGAUCCAGCCAUUCCGCGUGCAGGACGAAGGCCUUCGGGUUGUAAACUGCUUUUGUACAGAACGAAAAGGUCUCUAUUAAUACUAGGGGCUCAUGACGGUACUGUAAGAAUAAGCACCGGCUAACUACGUGCCAGCCGCCGCCGUAA